UAUGAAGGGGGCUAGCGUUGCUCGGAGUCACUGGGCGUAAAGGGUGCGUAGGCGGGUCUUUAAGUCAGGGGUGAAAUCCUGGAGCUCAACUCCAGAACUGCCUUUGAUACUGAGGAUCUUGAGUUCGGGAGAGGUGAGUGGAACUGCGAGUGUAGAGGUGAAAUUCGUAGAUAUUCGCAAGAACACCAGUGGCGAAGGCGGCUCACUGGCCCGAUACUGACGCUGAGGCACGAAAGCGUGGGGAGCAAACAGG
This 253-nucleotide ribosomal RNA is filed under the name uncultured bacterium. RNAcentral's name for it is "partial 16S ribosomal RNA". It matches the Rfam family "Bacterial small subunit ribosomal RNA", at positions 524 to 776 of the family's 1533-position model. The record is from RNAcentral.